This 537-nucleotide ribosomal RNA is filed under the name Trigonopterus sp. 708 AR-2022a. RNAcentral describes it as "partial large subunit ribosomal RNA". It matches the Rfam family "Bacterial large subunit ribosomal RNA", at positions 1819 to 2625 of the family's 2925-position model. Lineage: Eukaryota; Metazoa; Arthropoda; Insecta; Coleoptera; Curculionidae. The record is from RNAcentral.
GGCUUGUUGAUUAUAAUUUCAAGUCUGACCUGCCCAGUGAGGAGUUUAACGGCCGCGGUAUACUGACCGUGCAAAGGUAGCAUAAUCAUUAGUUUUUUAAUUGAAAGCUUGAAUAAAAGGUUUGAUGAAAAAAAUUCUGUCUCUGUAAAAAUUUAUUAGAAUUUUAUUUUUAAGUAAAAAAGCUUAAAUAUCAAUAGAAGACGAGAAGACCCUAUAGAAUUUUAUUUUCUGCUUGUAGUAAAAUUUAAAGUAAGUAAAAUUUUAUUAUUUGUCGGAGUAUUUUGUUGGGGUGAUAGAAAAACUAAAUUAACUUUUUUUAAAUUAAUACAUUAAUUUGUGAUUAAAUGAUCCUAAAAUUUAGAUUAUAAGACUAAAUUACCUUAGGGAUAACAGCGUAAUUUUUCCUAGAGUUCUUAUUGAAAGAAAAGAUUGCGACCUCGAUGUUGGAUUAAAAUUAAUUAUUGGUGUAGAAGCUAAUAUAAUUAGGUCUGUUCGACCUUUAAAAUUUUACAUGAUCUGAGUUUAAACCGGUGUGAG